GUCGGUUCGAUAUUUCCACCGCCGACCCUCAACCGAGGGCGUCGGACGUCGCGAUUCGUUCGCCGUCGAUACCGAAAGUGCGCGCCUCAAGCUCGUUGUCGCGGACGUUUCGGCGUUCGCGCGACGAUGGCGCGUUUCUCACGUUUCGACGCGGACGGUACGUUUGCGCGCGGGUAUUCGAGGCGGUCCCUCGUCCGGCGUCUCGUACGUCGGACGGCACUCGCCUCGACGCCGGUCAGCGACGAAUCUUCGGGCCUCUUUCCGACCCGUCUUGAAACACGGACCAAGGAGUCUAGGGUGCGCGCGAGUCGCGGGGUAUCCGAGGAGUAAUGACCCUCGUCAAGAUACGAAACCCGUUCACGUACAUUGUACGAAGGCGUAAUGAAAGUGAAAGAGGGCGCCUCGCGCGUCCUCGGGGGAAGACGGUGCGCUGCGAAAUACGUUUCGCGAUCGUAUAUGUAUCGCGACCAGCCGCCCGCAUUCCCAGGGCGUCCCGCCUGUGCGACGGCGAUCGGGGCUCGCUCCGGUCGUCGACGAACUGGGGCGCACCUAUAGCGUGCACCCUGGU
This 568-nucleotide ribosomal RNA is filed under the name Protopulvinaria pyriformis. RNAcentral's name for it is "partial 28S ribosomal RNA". The record is from RNAcentral. Lineage: Eukaryota; Metazoa; Arthropoda; Insecta; Hemiptera; Coccidae.